This 481-nucleotide long non-coding RNA is filed under the name Cottoperca gobio. Its description in RNAcentral is "lncRNA (ENSCGOG00000017331.1)". Lineage: Eukaryota; Metazoa; Chordata; Actinopteri; Perciformes; Bovichtidae. The record is from RNAcentral.
AAGAGCUGCAGCUGGCGAAGAGGAGUGGACAGUAAAUUACUUCCUCUAUUUAGCAAGGAUUCAAACUCAAAUCCAAAACCUGCUGAAGAGAACAUGUCGGGAAGGAAGAUCGAGGAAGGAUAGGAGGAAGGACGCUUUUGAAGGUUGUGAUUGGUCGAUAUUUUCAACUAAACUACAAAGGGCCAAGCUUGUUGCCCCAACUGACCAAAAGAUGUCUUCAUGUGUCUUCAUUUCAAGGACCCGUGGGAACCAUGACCAGUUUGUAUUCAUUUGUAUUUAUGUGCUGUAGAUCUUAGCCAUGAAAAAAACACUUUCUCUUCAUUACGUGUAUUAUUCUCAAAUUCUUUGUCGUUAUUAUCUGUGAUAAUUUACUAUACCAGCAUUUCAGCUGCUAUACAGCUUCAUGUGUAUCAUUCGUACAUCUCAGUCUCAGUUUUCAAGUAUUUCUAAUUGCCUUCCUGUGUCCCGAGUGCUAUAGUAU